Molecule: non-coding RNA, 24 nt
Filed under: Arabidopsis thaliana (thale cress)
Lineage: Eukaryota; Viridiplantae; Streptophyta; Magnoliopsida; Brassicales; Brassicaceae
Source: RNAcentral
AGGAAAAGCAUUGUCCUAGAUGUG